ACGGAGGGUGCAAGCGUUGUUCGGAAUUACUGGGCGUAAAGGGCGCGUAGGCGGUUUGAUAAGUCAGAUGUGAAAGCCCACGGCUUAACUGUGGAAGUGCAUUUGAAACUGUCAGACUUGAGUACCAGAGGGGAAAGUGGAAUUCCCGGUGUAGAGGUGAAAUUCGUAGAUAUCGGUAGGAAUACCGGUGGCGAAGACGACAUUCUGGCUUGAUACUGACGCUGAGGCGCUAAAGCGUGGGGAGCAAAAAG
RNAcentral lists this ribosomal RNA (251 nucleotides) under uncultured prokaryote. Its description in RNAcentral is "partial 16S rRNA". It matches the Rfam family "Bacterial small subunit ribosomal RNA", at positions 525 to 775 of the family's 1533-position model. The record is from RNAcentral.